GAUGAACGCUGGCGGCGUGCCUAAUACAUGCCAGUCGAGCGAGCGGACGAGAAGCUUGCUUCUCUGAUGUUAGCGGCGGACGGGUGAGUAACACGUGGAUAACCUACCUAUAAGACUGGGAUAACUUCGGGAAACCGUAGCUAAUACCGGAUAAUAUUUUGAACCGCAUGGUUCAAAAGUGAAAGACGGUCUUGCUGUCACUUAUAGAUGGAUCCGCGCUGCAUUAGCUAGUUGGUAAGGUAACGGCUUACCAAGGCAACGAUGCAUAGCCGACCUGAGAGGGUGAUCGGCCACACUGGAACUGAGACACGGUCCAGACUCCUACGGGAGGCAGCAGUAGGGAAUCUUCCGCAAUGGGCGAAAGCCUGACGGAGCAACGCCGCGUGAGUGAUGAAGGUCUUCGGAUCGUAAAACUCUGUUAUUAGGGAAGAACAUAUGUGUAAGUAACUGUGCACAUCUUGACGGUACCUAAUCAGAAAGCCACGGCUAACUACGUG
Molecule: ribosomal RNA, 497 nt
Filed under: uncultured bacterium
Lineage: Bacteria
Description: partial 16S ribosomal RNA
Rfam family: Bacterial small subunit ribosomal RNA
Source: RNAcentral